AGUAACAAAAUAAAAUAUAUCUACUGUUAACCAAAAUAUAUCUACUGUUAACCACUACUACCACAUAACAGCCAGCGGGGAUUUUGAUAAGGACUUGCCGAGAUCAAGCUGGGUUGGGCGGGGUACAUUAGCGCUGAGUAUCCGGUGGUUGUAUGGAUCAGAACUCCGAAAGAGUCGGAGCAGAUUUUUUAAUAAACGCUAUCUUAAUUAACCGACCGCACAUUUGAUCUUUUUAUACAUACAUUCUCGCCUAAAUAGCUUUUGAAUAUACAUUUUGUGACACAAUAAGAGUAAUAUUUCAAACAUUAUGCAGGCGUUCUCUUCCAUUGGUGGCUGUUGUAAGUUCACACGAGUCAGCUGAUGACGUUUCACUUGGACAGACAACCACGCAUUGUUGUAUAUUUUUUUGCGUGUGUUAUUAUUAUUUUAUUAUUAUGAAAUUCGUGAACAUUAUUAUUGCGCCUUGGCAGUCUAUUUUGUAUUUGUUUUAUUGAGGAGAAAAAAACAGACAAGAACGCAUAUUGUGUUGCGCCUGCGCUGUGACGUUCUUUUUUCAACCGCAUUUCCAGUCAAGAGGUCAAGAAUGUUCCUGUCUGCAUCAGCUAGCUAUCCAUCUGAAAAAGAAAAGCUGGAACUCGCAAAGGAGAUUGUGUUGUUGGAUUAUGGUCUCAUUUGGUCAAAAUGAGGGACAUGUACUGAGCAUUUUUCUUUUUUCUUUUUUUUGAUGGGCCAUCACACAGUGGAUUUAUAAAAAUGAGACUACAGAACAUCAGACGGAAGCUUCAACACGUGAGAGGACAUCAUCAAUAAAGAAUGCCAUUGACCAAACCUUCAGUCAUCAAAGAAGAUGGAUACAGGUGGACAUCGAGUUUUCCAGACUUACCGAUAGGAAAGAAGACAUGUUUAUCAGGAAAUUGGAGGUGACAAUUAUUGAGAAACUCAGGGAAAUAGCAUCUUUAGAGAAGAAAUGUAAUAUCUAUUGCUGUGUGAAUUCUGCUGUCUCAGACUGGGACUUGGUGGCGGCUGGUACCAGCAUGACCUCUUUGCUUACUAAAUGAUGAAAAGGUGUCUAAAAUCAGCUCAGCCAGUUGGUUUCCAGCGGUUCUUCAGGACAUGAAUUCGCAAUGAAUGAUUCUCUUGCCUUUCUACUUGAUGUUUACAAUCUGACCUGUGCGGUAGACAGACUUUUCAAAUUUACUAGCUAAGUAACCUUAAGUAUCCCUGCCAACUGUCUUCAGUUUUUUUUUUGGUAUGAAUAUGAUCUACCCUUGUCCCAGUCCUCUUGCAAACAAUCCAAGGCAAUGGAGUUUCAAAAUGGACCGCAAAAUUGCAGUCUGUUUUAACCAAUGCAUGCACUGUGUGGCGGUUUCCCGGACAGGGAUUAGACUAGUCCUAGACUAAAACAUUUUUAAGAGCUGUCCAAACUGAAAACAACUUGCACUGACAUAUCUUAAAAUACACCAGUGCCCUUUGUUUUGCCUCAAAAUGCACACAGGUAAUGUUUUUAGUAAGGCAUGUUUGUUAAAACCAGAUAUAUUUCCUAAUUAAUCUAAGGCCUAGUCCUGGAUUAAGAUUAUCCCUGUCCGGGAAACCACCCCUAAAUAUUUUGUGAUGGAAAUUUCUUUGAAUACACUUGUCAAGUUCAUUUGAAGUAUUUUUCUUAAUGUAAAAUAACGUGUUAAUGUUUCAGGACAAGGUAAGAAUUUUUGAUAACUUGCAUGUUGAAAACGAUUUCAGACAUUGUUUCAACAUGUUUAACACAUGUGCUUUUAAAUUCAAUGAAUUAUUUUAUAAAUGGUGUUUUUUAUGUAUAAAUGUAAUGUAUGUUUGAAGUGAUUAUACUUGCACUUAAAUUUAUUUAAAUUAGCAUACAUCUUGCAACAUACAGUACUAGCAUAUUUUCAUGCUAGCAUUAAUUGUCAAAUAUUUAUUAUUUUACAAAUAAAUCGUUUGUGAACAAUAUUUAAUAGUUGUCUGCUUGAUUUCAUUAUUUAAAGUUUACAAAUCGUAUGUUUUUUUUCUCUUUUAUAUUAAAACUAAACAAUUACUGGGUAACACACAGUUGUGUUAAAUUAAUAGAAAGUUACACAUUAAUGUGUUUACUGAAGCAACACAUUUUUUGUGUUGCAUUUUAUAACACAUAUUCUGUGUUAAAUUUAACUCAACAUGUGUUGUCCCUGCGCACACUCAGAACAUGUGUAAAAAAUAACACAUGUUGUGUUGUUUUUAACACAUUUGUUUUAAG
Non-coding RNA from Misgurnus anguillicaudatus (oriental weatherfish), 2245 nucleotides. NCBI's taxonomy places the organism in Eukaryota, Metazoa, Chordata, Actinopteri, Cypriniformes, Cobitidae. The record is from RefSeq and is a predicted model, not a curated record.